CACCAGCGUUAAGGAGGAGGAGGAGGAGGAGGAGGUGGGGAAGGAGGAAGGAGAGGUUGUGUCAGGUGGUUAAGAAAGACCUCUAUGGAGAUCAUCUUCACCGGCUCGCUCCGUCUGCACCGGCCACUGCGGGCUUCCAGCCCAGCGACUCUCCACGACCGCUCACCCGGACGGACCGAGUAACGGAGCAGCCUGCUGGAAUAAAAGCGGCUUCCUCCAUUGAUGAACCCGUCUGCUCAGCGCUUCGACCCGGCCGCGUCUCGGUAAAAACGAGGAAUAGAAGACGGGUGUCGGCCGCGAUGGCUAAUGCCUCCCCAGACCUGGACAACGCGGAAGCCCAGCGCCAGCUCAACAACAACAACCGAGCCAACAGCUCAGGUUUCUGGGAGACGGAGUGCACCAGCUCCAAGCUGUUUGAGUGCUCGCGCAUCAAGGCCCUGGCAGGUGUGUGGCACCCCCACCCAUGGUUCUUCACCUCUCGGACCACUUUAACCUCUUCGUUCCCUGCAGAUGAACGAGACGCGGUGCAGAAGAAGACCUUCACCAAAUGGGUUAAUUCUCAUCUAGCCAGAGUUUCCUGUCGCAUAUCUGACCUCUACAACGACCUGAGAGAUGGAUACAUGCUCACCAGACUGCUGGAGGUUCUCAGUGGGGAGCUGCUGCCGAGGCCCACAAGAGGGCGAAUGCGGAUCCAUUGUCUGGAGAAUGUUGACAAGGCGCUGCAGUUCCUUAAAGAGCAGAGAGUUCACCUGGAGAACGUCGGGUCUCACGACAUCGUCGAUGGGAACCACCGACUCACGCUGGGCCUCAUCUGGACCAUCAUCCUACGCUUCCAGAUUCAGGUGAUAAAGAUAGAGACGGAGGACAACAGAGAAACCCGCUCUGCUAAGGAUGCGCUGCUGCUCUGGUGCCAGAUGAAGACAGCUGGGUAUUCUGAGGUCAACAUCCAGAACUUCACCACCUGUUGGAGGGACGGCCUGGCCUUCAAUGCUCUCAUCCACAGACAUAGACCCGACCUGAUCGAGUUCCACAAACUCACCCGGUCCAAUGCAACACACAACCUCCAGCAGGCCUUCAACAUCGCAGAGCAACAUCUGGGCCUCACCAAACUUCUGGACCCAGAAGAUGUGAACACGGAGAACCCAGAUGAGAAGUCCAUCAUCACAUACGUGGUCUCCUACUACCACUACUUCUCGAAGAUGAAGGCUCUUAUUGUGGAGGGCAAGAGGGUUGGCAAGGUGUUGGAGAAAUGUGUCGAGGCAGAGAAGAUUGUGAACCGCUACGAAGCUCUGGCCUCCGACCUGCUGGACUGGAUCGAGAAAACCAUCGCUGUGAUCAGCAAUCAGAAGUUUGCCAACUCACUGACAGGAGUCCAACAGCAGCUUCAAGCCUUCACAACCUACUGCACCGUCGAAAAGCCUGUCAAGUUCCAGGAAAAAGGAAAUCUUGAAGUUCUACUCUUCACCAUCCAAAGUAAACUCAGAGCCAACAACCAGAAGCCCUACGUGCCUCAUGAAGGGAAACUUAUCUCUGACAUCAACAAGGCAUGGGAGCGGCUGGAGAAGGCAGAGCAUGAGAGGGGUGUGGCUCUUCGGAAAGAGUUGAUUCGUCAGGAAAAACUGGAGGUGCUGGCUCAGCGGUUUGACCACAAAACGACAAUGAGACAAGCCUGGCUCAAUGAGAACCAGAGACUGGUGUCGCAGGACAACUUUGGCUACGACCUUCCUGCCGUGGAGGCAGCGAUGAAGAAACAUGAGGCGAUCGAGGCAGACAUUGCGUCAUACGAAGAGCGGAUCGGUGUGGUGGUGGAACUCUCUGCAGAGAUGGAAGUGGAGGGAUACUAUGACAUACGCCGUAUCUUGGCUCGUAAGGAGAACAUCCUGGGUCAGUGGGCACUUUUAAAGGAGCUUGUGGGAGGCAGGAGGGUCCGACUGGAGAAGAACCUGGCCCUGCAGAAGACCUUCCAGGACAUGGUCUACAUGAUAGACUGGAUGGAAGAGACACAGGUCCAGCUGCUGUCCAAAGACUUUGGGAAGCAUCUUCUGGAAGUGGAUGACCUGCUGCAGAAGCACAGUCUUCAGGAGGCUGAUAUCUCUGUUCAGGCCGAACGGGUCGAAACCCUGAACGCUGCUGCGCUCAAAUUCACUACCAUAGAAGGAUACCAACCAUGUGACCCUCAGGUCAUCUGUAACCGUGUCAACCAUGUGUCCUCGUGUCUGGAGGAGCUCAGACUCUUGGCCGCCAAGAGACGCAAUGAUCUCGAGGAGUCACGGGAGCUGUGGGCCUUUUUCCAGGAACUGGAGGAGUCUGAGGUGUGGAUCCGAGAGAAGAGCUCCAUCCUAGGGGCUCAGGGUUACGGGAAGGACCUGAGCAGCGUGCUGAAGUUACUGCAAAAACACAAGACUCUGGCUGGAGAGCUGCUGGCUCACCGCUCACUGCUGCAGAACACCAUCAAGCAAGGAAAGCAGAUCCUGAGUGAGAAGAGCUUCGGCACAGCCGGGAUCCAGGAGCGGAUCAUGGAUGUAAAAGAGGAGUGGAAGAGUCUGGAGGAGCAGGCAGCAGAGCGACUCGGCCAUCUACAGGAGGCGCUCAACUUCUUCCAGUUUUCCACUGAGACCGACGACUUGGUGGCUUGGAUGCAGGACGCGUACCGCCUGGUGUCCAGCGAAGACUUUGGCCACGACGAGUACUCGACCCAGUCACUGCUGAAGAAACACAGAGGGGUUAGUGAGGCUGUGGACAAGCAUCGGCUUCAUGUUGUGGCACUACGGAAACACAUGGUGGCGCUGCCUCUGCAAUACCGGGAGCAGGAUGAGGUGCAGGCUCGGAUGACGGAGGUGGAGCAGCUGUACACUGAGGUGGUUGAGGUGGCCGUUCUCCGGCAGCAGUGGCUGCACGACGCCCUGGCAGUCUAUCGCAUGUUCAGUGAAGUCAACGCCUGCGAGCUGUGGAUCGAUGAGAAAGAACAGUGGCUGAACAAGAUGGAAAUCCCUGAGAGAAUAGAGGACGUGGAGGUGGUGGCUCACAGGUUUGAGUCUCUGGACCAGGAGAUGAACAGCCUGAUGGGAAGAAUCCUGGAUGUCAACCAGAUCGUCCAGCAGCUCCUGGACGGGGGCCACCCCUCCUCUUCCGAGGUCCGGGGGUGUCAGGAUCACCUCAACUCCAGGUGGAACAGCAUUGUGGAGCUGGUGGAGCAGAAGAAAGACCUGCUGGACUCUAUGAUGCGGCUGCAGAACUACCUGCUCGAAUGUGCCGAGAUCAAGUCGCAGAUCCAGGACAAGAGAAAAGCCAUUGACACCACUCAGUACGUUGGGAGUGACCUGGGGGGAGUCAUGGCCCUGCAAAGACGUCUUUCCACCAUGGAGGGGGCGCUGUCAGUGCUGGAGCCCAAACUGUUGCACCUGCAGGAAGAAGCAGAGCAUCUGGCGUCGGUACAUCCGGGUCGGACCAUGGAGGUUCUGAUGCAGUUUGAUGGUAUCAGCGUGGAGUGGGAGGAGCUGAAGCGGACCCUGCAGGGCUGCGAGGACUCGUUGACGGUGGCCAGUAGGCUGCAGAGCUUCAUACAGGACCUGGACUCCUUCCUCACCUGGCUGGUCCAGACACAGUCCUCAGCUGCUUCAGAUCAGUUGCCCAAUGACCUGGAAGAAGCUGAGAAGCUCAUCAACAAACACGCAGCUCUCAAGGAGGAGAUCGGACGGUAUGAAGAAGACUACGAGCGGCUGCAGGCCAUGAACGAGCUGCUGGAGUCUGAGGAGGCUCCUCUUCCUCAGGCGGCGCUGCAGCAGUGGCUCCAAAAACUGGACGUCGGCUGGAACAAGCUGCUGGAGAUGUGGGAGAGUCGGAGGGAGGUUCUGGUCCAGGCCCACAUUUUCCACCUCUUCCUGAGAGAUGUGAAACAGGCUGAAUCCUUCAUCAACAACCAGGAGUCGGCCCUCGCUCACGUGGAGCUGCCCACCACGGUGGAAACCGUCGAGGCGGCCAUCAAGAAGCACAAGGACUUCACCACCACGAUGGAGCUGAACCUUCACAGAAUCAAGGCUGUGAUCGAGGCCGGGGAGAGUCUGAUCAGCCAAAACAACAUCUACUCUGAACGCAUCAGGGAGCGCAUCGACACGCUGGCCAGCAGGGGGAACCGAAACAGAGGAAUGGCUCAGCAGUGGCUGGAAAAGCUAAAUGACCAGUGGGAGCUGCAGAGGUUUCUGCAGGACUGUCAUGAGCUGGGCGACUGGGUGUGCGAGAAGAUGCUGAUGGCGAGGGACGGCAGCCGAGACGAGACCCAAAAGCUCCAUAAGAAAUGGCUGAAGCACCAGGCCUUUAUGGCUGAGCUGGCCCAGAACAAGGAAUGGCUGGACAAGAUAGAGACGGAGGGCCAGCAGCUGAUCCGGGAGAAGCCUGAGCUCAGCCCGGUGGUCCAGCAGAAGCUGGAGGAAAUCCGGGAAUGCUGGCAGGACCUCGAGAGCACCACUCAGGCCAAAGCCCGGCAGCUCUUCGAGGCCAACAAGGCUGACCUGCUGGUGCAGAGCUAUGACAGUCUGGACCAGAGACUGGGUCAGCUGGAGGGCCAGCUGGUAUAUGUGGACCACGGACAGGACCUCUCCAGUGUCAACCGCCAGCUGAAGAAACUGCAGACGAUGGAGUGUCAGAUGGAAGAGUGGUAUAAGGAGGUGGGGCAACUCCAGGUGCAGGCCGCCUCCAUCCCACAGCAGACUCAGGUCAAGGAUACAGUCGCUGAGCAGCAGGCAGCCAUCGAGGCCCGGAUGGUGCGUCUCAUCGAACCACUGAAGGAGAGACGGCGGCUGCUGCUGGCGUCCAAGGAGGUCCAUCAAGUGGGACGAGACCUGGAGGAUGAAAUUUUGUGGAUUCAAGAGCGCCUCCCAAUGGCCAUGUCGCAGGAGCACGGAUCCUCGCUGCAGGCCGUCCAGCAGCUCAUGAAGAAGAACCAGACACUCCAGCGGGAACUGCAGGGCCACCGGACCCGGAUCGAGGACGUCCUGGACCGAGCUGGGCUCAUCGCCUCCAUCCGCAGCCCGGAGGCUGACUGUGUGCGGGCGGGUCACGACCAGCUGGCCCAGCUGUGGAUGCUGCUGUGGGUGGAGACUGAGAGGAGGCAGCUGGUGCUGGACGCCAUGUACCAGGCCCAGCAGUACUACUUUGACACUGCCGAGGUGGAGGCCUGGCUGAGCGAGCAGGAGCUGCAUAUGAUGAACGAGGAGAAGGGCAAGGAUGAGCCGAGCACACUGCAGUUGCUGAAGAAACACUUGGUCCUUGAACAAGCCAUCGAGGACUACGCAGAAACCAUCGGCCUGCUGUCUCAACAGUGUCGGCAGCUGCUGGAGAUGGGACACCCAGACUGCGAUCAGAUCAGCAAGCGUCAGUCGCAGAUCGACCGUCUGUACGUGUCACUGAAGGACCUGGUGGAGGAGAGGAAGAGCCGUCUGGAGCAGCAGUACUGGCUGUAUCAGCUCAACCGGGAGGUGGACGAGCUGGAGCAGUGGAUCGCCCAGAGGGAGGUCGUGGCCAGCUCCCCUGAGCUGGGUCAGGACUACGAGCAUGUCACCGUUCUGCAGGAGAAGUUCACCGAGUUUGCCUCUGAGACUGGCAGCGUGGGCCAGGAAAGAGUGACAGCCAUCAAUCAGAUGGUGGACGAGCUGAUUGACUACGGUCACUCUGAGGCCGCCACCAUCGCCGAGUGGAAGGACGGCGUGAAUGAGGCCUGGGCCGACCUGCUGGAGCUGAUGGAGACUCGAGGUCAGAUGCUCGCUGCGUCUCACCAGCUGCACAAGUUCUUCUCCGACUGCAGAGAGGUUCUGUCGCAGAUUGAGGACAAACAUCGGAGGCUGCCUGAAGUUCAGCCACGUCAGGGCAGCGCGGCCAACACCAGCAGCCUGCAGAGACUCCUGCACAGCUUCGAGCAGGACAUCCAGCUGCUGGUCACUCAGGUGCGUCAGCUGCAGGAGAGCGCCGCCCAGCUCAGGACAGUGUAUGCUGGUGAGAAGGCGGAGGCCAUCGCCUGUCGGGAACACGAGGUGAUGCAGUGCUGGAAGGAGCUGCUGACGUCCUGCGAGGAGUGUCGGGUUCACAUCACCACAGAGACGGACAAGCUGAGAUUUUUCAACAUGGUCCGAGACCAGAUCAUGUGGAUGGAUUCCAUCAUUUGCCAGAUAGGGACAGGCGAGAAGCCAAGGGAUGUGUCGUCAGUGGAGGUGUUGAUGAACUAUCACCAGAGUCUGAAGAGUGAGGUGGAGGCUCGCAGUCGAGGUGUGGGCGAGUGCAUCGAGGUGGGAAAGACCCUGCUGGCUGCCCGCAACCCUGCUGCCGAGGAGAUCAGGGAGAAGCUGGACAAGGUCGUUGCUAAGCAACACGAACUGUCUGAGAAGUGGGACAGGCACUGGGAAGUUCUGCAGCAGUUGUUGGAGGUGCACCAGUUCGCUCAGGAGGCGGUGGUGGCCGAGGCCUGGCUGACCGCGCAGGAGCCGCUCAUCAACAGCAACGAGCUGGGCGAGAGUGUGGACGAGGUGGAGCAGCUGAUCCGCCGCCACGAGGCCUUCCGCAAGGCCGCCGCCACCUGGGAGGAGCGCUUCAGCUCACUGCGAAGACUCACCACAGUGGAGAAGCUGAGAGCAGAACAGAGCAAACUUCCUCCCACCCCUCUUCUGGGACGCAAAAUUUUCCUGGACCCCCAAGAUGCCUCUCCGAGUCCGUCCAGCCUCCCGAGACUCCCGCUGGCGCCAGUUACCCGACAGACCAUUUACGAACAGAACGAACCCAGCCCUCCGUCGCCCUCACCCGCCACUCCCACUCCCUCCCCGUCAUCGGUCGCUCGGCGGCUCGGCUCCACGGUCGCCAACUACACACCUGUGAUGAACGGCUCCAGCUACCGCCAUGCGCUGGAGCCGCGACACAGUGGCAUGGUGGGUGUCGCUGCCGGGCUCGGCAAGCCUGCGCCGUCGUCCAUUGCCUCCAUUGCUACGGCGGCCAUGUUGGUGUCUGCGAACCAGGCGCGGGAAAGCGCCAUCACGGCGAGAGAGCAGACAACGAAGGCGAUGAGUCACCUCCAGCCAGCUCAGACUAAAGAGCUGGAGGCCAAGGCUUCGCAGUAUCUACGGCAGCCCAAAAUCAAACACCUGGACGACGCGGUGACGCCGCUGCUGGUGGCCAGUCGGCUGGAGAAGGCGAGAGAGAGGGGGCGGGAGAGAGACCCCAUAUUGGGGGAGAUUGGUAAAGAGAAGGCUGAGGUUGCUGUGAUGGCCGAGGUCGUGCUGCACGAGCCGGGCCGCGAGAGGCUGCACAGCGACCCCACCAGAGGAGCGCGGGGGUCGAGGACCGACCCACUUGGUCACGCCGAGCCACAGGUCCAGACGCACCACAGGAUUGAGAGGCAGCUGUCCAGUGAGCAGCUGAUCCAGGCCCGAAGAGACGAGCUCCCUCAGGAGGUGUGGAGGGAACACGCUGAGAGGAGGGAGAGACGCACGCUGGAAAGGCAGACGUCCAGCGAGCAGGAGGGCCACGGGAGCCACGACAGCCGGCGCCGAGAGAGAGACCGGCACCGGCUAGAGAGACAAGAGUCCAGCGAGCAUGACACAGGGAGGGAACACUCGGACAGGCGCUCCGGAGGAGGAGAGAAGAGAUCCACGAUGGCUGAGAUCGUAGAGCAGCUUCAAGAGCGAGAGGCAGCUCAGGCUCGGGGCGAGGUCCCACGCAUGCCAAAUGGCCUCCCAGAGAAGUCUUCCCGUCUGGACAGGCCUCGAGCCAGGGACAGGCCGAAACCACGUCGCCGGCCGAGACCAAAGGAAGCCGGAGAGACCACUCGGCGGUCCAGGUCGGCACCGGCCCAAAGUAGCCCGGCUGUCCCGCAGCCACCGACACAUGCUGCACACCACGAGGGCUUCCUGUUCCGCAAACUGGACAUCGAGAGCAUGAAGAAGAGCACCAACAGGUGGGUGUUCGUGGUCUGAAGGCUGUGAUGGAUGGGGAUGAUGUCAUCGAGGUCAGGGAAGGAGCUCAGCGAAGUGUAGGAAGUGAGGAAUUAAAAUCAGCUGACUGGAGACAACUUCUUAAAACUAAAAAUCCGAUGGAGGCUAAAGCUCUGCAGACACGUUCUGGAGGGACAUAAAUGUUUCACAUUUGAGGUGUAUUCUCACCCAUCAUUGAACUAGCUUCCCUGUGGUUUUCUGAGAUGACAUCACUUCCUAUGUCCAGUUGCUGAGAUCAUAGCUGCGGCUCGUGACAAGCAUGACAGCAACACUGCUUUGUUGCAUGAUGCUAGCUGGUUAUCGAGAGCGCACAAAGCAAUAACACUGGAUUUUUGUCCCACAACUUCCUGUUUACAGACGUCAUCUUAUGAUACCGCUGGCUUUUUUCUCCAUAAAAAUAUAUUUAAAAGAGUCAAAACUGUUAAUUCAUUGUUUUUAAAACUUGUGUUUCAAUGUCAGUAUAAAUCCAGUACUUAUUAUUUACAAUAACAUGGAUAAUUUAAUCGUGUUGCAGCACCAUAUUCAUGCAAAAUUCUCAUUUUUUUUCAAACCCAAAUUUCAUUCAGUUCAUUGUUAGAAUACGUUCUUGACAAUGUACUACUAAAACAAAGAGAGUGUGUCUUUAAGUGACCUCACAGCCAGUUGAUGACAUCACUCAGACUUGCUCUCCUUGGUAGUUAAGAUUCAGUCUGUUAAAAGGACAUUAACUGUCAUAUAAGGAUAACGCAGUGUUUUCUAAUAGAUUGCGUUUUGUCUCUAGUAUGUUUUGUUCGUUCUGGGGUUUUUCAAAGAAAGAACCUUUUUGUGUGCUCAUAUUCACGUAUGUGGGAUGCCUUCAAUAAUGGCUUGGAGGAUACAAAGAUGCUGCUGCAGCCUCACUCAGACCAGUGUGUCAGUUGGGCAGAGGAGAACGAUGAAAUGUGGCGACACAAGCGAGCACAACCCUGCAGUUUCAACAUAUGUUUACCGGCUGCUAGCUCGAUCAACACAUGUGCAACCCUGACUAAUGGAAAUAAUUAGUUUCUUCAUCAUGGAUUAUGUUAUCCGAGGUGUGUCGGAUCAAGUCUUGACUUUUAUUUCAGGUAUGACCAGGCAUGCGAGGCGAUCACGCAUGAUGCUUAUUGUUGCUUUUGCACAGAUGACAAAAGCAGUACCCACCCACACACACACGUUUGUAUCUCUGUCCUUGUGGGGACCUCUCUUUGCCGUAAACCUUUCCCCAGCCUGUUCCUCUAAACCUAACCAUCCAAAAGACAGGGUUAACCUUAACCAGGACUCUGAACCAAACUGAAUCCCGGUUAUAAUGACCCAGUUAUUUUGAAGUCUUCAUCCUCAAGCUGAGGCUUGGACUUGUGGGGUCCAGCCAAAGGGCCCCACAAAUGCAAGACUUGGUCCCCACAAGUAAAUAUCUGUACAAGGGACCACACACACACAGACACACUCUAACUGGCUUUGCUUCCUCCAGAGUUACACCAGCAGCACAGUGACUUGCUGCACUGCCCUCUAGUUGCUGGGCUGACAUCUCACAGCUAACAGCUCAUCUCCCUCCAGCGGUGGAUGAGCGGGCUGCCGGACGAAUGUCUCACAUGUACAUGACCGCUUAUGUACAUGUCAAGGUAACGCACAACAUGGAAUGGCAUCAGGCAAACUGGGAGUAUCUUUAGGGCAACGCUGCUUGACUUAGCCAGGGCAAUGAAGGUGAUACAGAUCACGAAUCCACUCGACUCUCAAGUGUUUAUGUGCAGGUUAAUAGUGUACAUUGUACAACAUUGGUACAAGAGCUGAUCUUUGACGUGCUUUAUACCGAUGCAGAGGAUCAUGUCUGCUCCCCCCUCAGUUUGAUGCGUUAGAUUUUAGGGUCCAUCCAGCACCACACCUGACACCUCUUCCCUACAUCCACCAGAUGCUCAUUGGUAGCCCUUUUCUUCUUCACCUCCUCAUCUGUCCAUCACCCUGGGCGGUUGAUUUCAAAUUUGUUUUCCCUCCCUCAACUUCACUCAUCUUUCCUCUCAUUCACACACAUGACUUUGAUUCCUCUCCUCCUCCUCCGUACCCUCACUUCAGAUAUCUGUAUCAUCAGCAGACAUCAUUGUCCAGCCAGACUCCUCCCUAACCUCAUCUGUCAGUCACCUUACUACUGGUGCAUCCCUCCUGGGCGACGCAGUUCACUCGGCGCUUCGGAAGGUUUUCCAGGAAGGUCCAGCUGUGUAGACACCGCAACACUGGUGUUGAUCAGUGUGUGAAAUAGAGUGGAAGAAAAGUCCAGAAUGAAGGCGUUAGCUCUGCAACCUAGCAACCGAUGCUGAGUGAGUUAAAUGCAACCUUUGUGAGUGUGUAGCAUCAGGGUAUUAAUCUGCACACAAACAGCUCGCUCUGACUCAAACUGCGUUUGGGAUGUGCAUGUCAACACGCUCAUUAAUGCAGACUCAGCUAUUUUUUUUUCUUGUGGCUAGAAUUCUUUUGAACCAGACUGUUCUCCUCUCUUUCCCUGCUGCUGCUGGUCUCCUCCUCCUCACUAAGCAGGUCUUGGGUCAACCUGUACUGCGUGUUGAACAAAGGAGAGCUGGGCUUCUACAAGGACGCCAAGAACAUCACGGCUCCGUACAACAACGAGCCGCUGCUGAACCUGUCCCACUGCCACUGUGACAUCACCAACGGCUACAAGAAG
Molecule: RNA transcript, 10641 nt
Organism: Synchiropus splendidus (mandarinfish)
Lineage: Eukaryota; Metazoa; Chordata; Actinopteri; Syngnathiformes; Callionymidae
Gene name: spectrin beta chain, non-erythrocytic 4-like
Exons: 40
Source: RefSeq, a predicted model, not a curated record